GGCGGCAGGCUUAACACAUGCAAGUCGAGCGCCCCGCAAGGGGAGCGGCAGACGGGUGAGUAACGCGUGGGAAUCUACCCAACCCUACGGAAUAACACAGGGAAACUUGUGCUAAUACCGUAUACGCCCUACGGGGGAAAGAUUUAUCGGGGUUGGAUGAGCCCGCGUUGGAUUAGCUAGUUGGUGGGGUAAUGGCCUACCAAGGCGACGAUCCAUAGCUGGUCUGAGAGGAUGAUCAGCCACACUGGGACUGAGACACGGCCCAGACUCCUACGGGAGGCAGCAGUGGGGAAUAUUGGACAAUGGGCGAAAGCCUGAUCCAGCCAUGCCGCGUGAGUGAUGAAGGCCUUAGGGUUGUNAAGCUCUUUCAGUGGGGAAGAUAAUGACGGUACCCACAGAAGAAGCCCCGGCUAACUUCCUGCCAGCAGCCGCGGUAAUACGAAGGGGGCUAGCGUUGUUCGGAUUUACUGGGCGUAAAGCGCAC
Molecule: ribosomal RNA, 484 nt
Filed under: uncultured Alphaproteobacteria bacterium
Lineage: Bacteria; Pseudomonadati; Pseudomonadota; Alphaproteobacteria
Description: bacterial SSU rRNA
Rfam family: Bacterial small subunit ribosomal RNA
Source: RNAcentral